RNAcentral lists this ribosomal RNA (806 nucleotides) under uncultured bacterium. RNAcentral describes it as "bacterial SSU rRNA". It matches the Rfam family "Bacterial small subunit ribosomal RNA", at positions 8 to 796 of the family's 1533-position model. The record is from RNAcentral.
AGAGUUUGAUCAUGGCUCAGGAUGAGCGCUGGCGGCGUGCCUAAUACAUGCAAGUCGAGCGAACAGAUAAGGAGCUUGCUCCUUUGACGUUAGCGGCGGACGGGUGAGUAACACGUGGGUAACCUACCUAUAAGACUGGAAUAACUCCGGGAAACCGGGGCUAAUGCCGGAUAACAUGUUGAACCGCAUGGUUCUACAGUGAAAGGCGGCUUUGCUGUCACUUAUAGAUGGACCCGCGCCGUAUUAGCUAGUUGGUGAGGUAAUGGCUCACCAAGGCAACGAUACGUAGCCGACUUGAGAGGGUGAUCGGCCACACUGGAACUGAGACACGGUCCAGACUCCUACGGGAGGCAGCAGUAGGGAAUCUUCCGCAAUGGGCGAAGGCCUGACGGAGCAACGCCGCGUGAGUGAUGAAGGUCUUCGGAUCGUAAAACUCUGUUAUUAGGGAAGAACAAAUGCGUAAGUAACUGUGCGCGUCUUGACGGUACCUAAUCAGAAAGCCACGGCUAACUACGUGCCAGCAGCCGCGGUAAUACGUAGGUGGCAAGCGUUAUCCGGAAUUAUUGGGCGUAAAGCGCGCGUAGGCGGUUUUUUAAGUCUGAUGUGAAAGCCCACGGCUCAACCGUGGAGGGUCAUUGGAAACUGAAAAACUUGAGUGCAGAAGAGGAAAGUGGAAUUCCAUGUGUAGCGGUGAAAUGCGCAGAGAUAUGGAGGAACACCAGUGGCGAAGGCGACUUUCUGGUCUGUAACUGACGCUGAUGUGCGAAAGCGUGGGGAUCAAACAGGAUUAGAUACCCUGGUAGUCC